Molecule: ribosomal RNA, 253 nt
Filed under: uncultured bacterium
Lineage: Bacteria
Description: partial 16S ribosomal RNA
Rfam family: Bacterial small subunit ribosomal RNA
Source: RNAcentral
UACGUAGGUGGCAAGCGUUGUCCGGAUUUACUGGGCGUAAAGGGCGCGUAGGCGGCACAGCAAGUCGGGAGUGAAAGCCCGGGGCUCAACCCCGGAAUGGCUUUCGAAACUGCUGAGCUAGAGUACAGAAGGGGCAACCGGAAUUCCCAGUGUAGCGGUGAAAUGCGUAGAUAUUGGGAAGAACACCUGAGGCGAAGGCGGGUUGCUGGGCUGAUACUGACGCUGAGGCGCGAAAGCCAGGGGAGCAAACGGG